RNAcentral lists this ribosomal RNA (253 nucleotides) under uncultured bacterium. Its description in RNAcentral is "partial 16S ribosomal RNA". It matches the Rfam family "Bacterial small subunit ribosomal RNA", at positions 524 to 776 of the family's 1533-position model. The record is from RNAcentral.
UACAGAGGGUGCGAGCGUUAAUCGGAAUUACUGGGCGUAAAGGGUGCGUAGGCGGUUACUUGAGUCGGGUGUGAAAUACCUGGGCUUAACCUGGGAAUUGCAUUCGAUACUGGGUGACUGGAGUAUGGUAGAGGGUAGUGGAAUUCCGGGUGUAGCGGUGAAAUGCGUAGAUAUCCGGAGGAACACCAGUGGCGAAGGCGGCUACCUGGACCAAUACUGACGCUGAGGCACGAAAGCGUGGGGAUCAAACAGG